Molecule: ribosomal RNA, 429 nt
Filed under: Gemmatimonadota bacterium
Lineage: Bacteria; Pseudomonadati; Gemmatimonadota
Description: Gemmatimonadetes bacterium partial 16S ribosomal RNA
Rfam family: Bacterial small subunit ribosomal RNA
Source: RNAcentral
UAGGGAAUCUUCGGCAAUGGACGAAAGUCUGACCGAGCAACGCCGCGUGAGUGAAGAAGGUUUUCGGAUCGUAAAACUCUGUUGUUAGAGAAGAACAAGGACGUUAGUAACUGAACGUCCCCUGACGGUAUCUAACCAGAAAGCCACGGCUAACUACGUGCCAGCAGCCGCGGUAAUACGUAGGUGGCAAGCGUUGUCCGGAUUUAUUGGGCGUAAAGCGAGCGCAGGCGGUUUCUUAAGUCUGAUGUGAAAGCCCCCGGCUCAACCGGGGAGGGUCAUUGGAAACUGGGAGACUUGAGGGCAGAAGAGGAGAGUGGAAUUCCGUGUGUAGCGGUGAAGUGCGUAGAUAUAGGGGGGAACACCAGUGGCGAAGGCGGCUCUCUGGUCUGUAACUGACGCUGAGGCUAGAAAGCGUGGAGAGCAAACAGG